CCUACGGGAGACUGCAGUGAGGAAUAUUGGUCAAUGGGCGCGAGCCUGAACCAGCCAAGUAGCGUGAAGGAUGACUGCCCUACGGGUUGUAAACUUCUUUUAUAAAGGAAUAAAGUGAGGCACGUGUGCCUUUUUGUAUGUACUUUAUGAAUAAGGAUCGGCUAACUCCGGGCCAGCCGCCGCGGUAAUACGGAGGGUCCGAGCGUUAUCCGGAUUUAUUGGGUUUAACGGGUGCGUAGGCGGAUCGUUAAGUCAGUGGUAAAAUUGAGGGGCUCAACCCCUUCCCGCCAUUGAAACUGGCGCUCUUGAGUGGAAGAGAAGUAUGCGGAAUGCGUGGUGUAGCGGUGAAAUGCAUAGAUAUAACGCAGAACCCCGAUUGCGAAGGCAGCAUGCCGGCUUCCGACUGACGCUGAAGCACGAAAGCGUGGGGAUCGAACAGGAUUAGAUACCCGAGUAGUC
This 459-nucleotide ribosomal RNA is filed under the name uncultured bacterium. Its description in RNAcentral is "partial 16S ribosomal RNA". It matches the Rfam family "Bacterial small subunit ribosomal RNA", at positions 338 to 795 of the family's 1533-position model. The record is from RNAcentral.